RNA transcript from Gorilla gorilla gorilla (western lowland gorilla), 2643 nucleotides. RefSeq lists it as uncharacterized. The record is from RefSeq and is a predicted model, not a curated record. Lineage: Eukaryota; Metazoa; Chordata; Mammalia; Primates; Hominidae. The transcript is spliced from 3 exons.
GUUUCUCAUUUUUUGUUCCCUGUCCUCAAGUCUUAGAGGCAAAAGAAAUAUCCAAGAUUUGAAAUUUCUUUUCUUCUUUUCAUCUGCAUGGCUGUAGCCAUCUCUUUGUUCUGCAUUAUCUUAUGACAAAAAAAAAAAUUCUUAUUUUGAAGCAAACUCAAAGCUAGGUCCUGAUGUCUCAAGGCACAGGUACUUGUACUUAAAGGUGAGUCUGAAAUCUGUGGAUUUGGGGAACUUUGGAAAAACAAAGAUGAGUGGCUAGAUCAGGGGGCUCAUUGGGCAGGAAGAGGAGACUGGAAAAUGCCAUAUUCACUGCAAGUCAAUUAUCAACUUCCUCCAAGGCUAAAAUAGCUGAACCUGCUGCAUUUUAAACCAAUCCUCAGCCACUUUUGUGUUUUCUCAAGGAUUUCCAGGGAUCCCAGGCAGUAAAUCCUGCUGAUAAUAGGAAUUGGUGUGAUAAGGUGGGUGCUGAGCAGUUUAAGCACCAAGAUUGUAGCUCUGUCUGGUUUUGUGGAGAUUUACUCAACUAGAAGAACAGAGAUUUGGCUGGUUUUUCAGUCCUGGGGUACAGGGUUCAGCUGUACUGGAAAAUUUAGGACCUGGUUUCAUUCUUUGAGUCUCAUGUUCAAGUUGGUUUUAAUGUUAUGAAGACACUUGGGACGUAAUCCUGAGGGCAGCUGGGGGGAAGAAAGUGGUCACUGGAUGGACUUACCCUGUAGCGAGCCCAUGCAUGGUUUGUUCUCUGAUCGUGCAUGUGCUUGGCUAUAGACCCAUGUAACCGUGGUGAAGGCCACGGGGGGAUUCAGUUGGCAAAGGCAUAGUGGGCAGAAGAAUCUUGAACAAGGAGUCCAGAGCAGGUCAAGUCUCCUGAUACAGGUUGUGACUCAUGGUUUUUUGUCUCUGCCUGUAGCAGCUACAGGUCUGUAAAGCAAGGGGAGAGUGAUAAGGAAAGAACUCACCUUUCUGGGGCUCUCUGACAUUAAUGCCACCUCCCAUUUGCUUUUUGCAGACACUGUCAUCUCUCAAGUACCCAUCUUGGAGGGUACGGACCCCACAUGAUGGUGAGGCUCUCUGCACACUCCAGAGUGAGGACCUUAAUAAUCUAGUGGACUGUACAUGUUGGGAGGGGAAGAGCGGGGUGCCGAGGGUCUGGAGGGAGAAGAAUUGACUGCCCCUUUUGCUCUUGGAGUUAAGCAGAAAUCUAAAGAGAAGGCAAAGAAUCUUGCCUUCCUGGCAUCAUUUCCUCCUACCAUCCCGGCCAUCAUUUAUUUAUUACAGCCAACAGACUGGCCUCUUUCUUCCCUUUAACUGGGAAUGGGUCAAAGGCGGUGCAGGAGGAGGAUCUGGUCCAGAUAAUUCACAAGCAGGGUGCAUUUUCCUCUCAUUAUUGAGAACUGUGAGUGUUUAUCAAGAAGGCAGAGCGGGAGAAUAUGAACCAGUCUUCUUCCCCUCACUACCCAGAUCUCUGCCUGCCAACAAGCCCCGUGUUCACCCUGGCAAAGAGUCUUUACAUUCAGACCAAGGAGAGUGUGACUCCUUCUCAGCACUAGCUAGAAACCUCAAGGCCUUGCUUAAGGGCCUCUUUCAGAGAGACCCAAUGCCCAGAAGGCUAGAUGCAUGGGGAGGAGCCACAUACGAGAAACUGCCUCCCUGCUUCGGGUCAGAACAAGCCCCAGGAAGAAAGUAUUUCAAACAACAAGGUGCAUCUGCCCCAACCCAUCCAGCCUGCAUGUUGGUGCUGAGAACAGCCUUUUAUGGGGCUUGCAGUGAGCCAUGGGCAUGUCUGAACACAACAAGGAAGAGGCCAGAGCAGCAACAGCACGCAAAGGGUUGAUGGGCAUUUCUUUUAAGAGAAGGCAGAAAACUCUUAGAUACUUUGCGUCCUUCCUAUUUGACUCAGUCUAUGAAAGCCAGGUUAGCUUUCUUUCUUCCUCCCUAAAUCCUCCAUCCUCAUGCCCAACAAAGAAAUAGUUGAAUCAUUUUCCAGGCACAUGUGGGGGAGGAUGUGGGGCCACUGGAAGCUGUCCUUCCUAGAUAAGUCUUUAGGAGUGAGAACAAGGAGUCUUACCCUCCUCUGUCCACCCACCUCCUUGAAUGGGCCUGGCUCCAGCCGGGAGUUGUGGUUUUUCCUGAGCUCCUCACCUAUCUCUUCUGGAUUUCACAUUGGCAAACGGGGCUGCAAAGUGCUCUUCGUGCUCUUUGGACAGUGCCUUGUGGAGAGGAAUGCCCAUGCCCCUGCAUUCCAAGACCUUGGUAAGCAAGCUCAGAGUAGCUGGAUUUUUCUAAAGCAAUUGCAGAACACCUGCUUUUUCUUUGUUUCCUCUAGAAAGGACCAACCACACCGAGAUCAGUUAUGGCACACACAGUGGGACCUAGACAAAGGGAGAGGGUGACCGGCAUCCCAACUAGCAGGUGCAAGGACGUGUUGAACUAGCUCUCUGCAGCCUCCUUGGAGGAUGUGAUCCUAUGGGAGGGGUAGGAGUAUUCAGGUCCUCGACAUCUCCCAAAUGUGUGAUUCCGGGAUGCCAAAGGCCUUUGGCCAGAUUUCAGUGGAGUGAAGUUCAGGAGGCAUGGAGCUGACAACCAUGAGGCCUCGGCAGCCACCGCCGCCGCCACCGCCGUAGCAGCAGCAGCAGCAGCAAG